RNAcentral lists this transfer RNA (69 nucleotides) under Ictidomys tridecemlineatus (thirteen-lined ground squirrel). RNAcentral's name for it is "Spermophilus tridecemlineatus (thirteen-lined ground squirrel) tRNA". It matches the Rfam family "tRNA". From Rfam's summary of the family: Transfer RNA (tRNA) molecules are approximately 80 nucleotides in length. Their secondary structure includes four short double-helical elements and three loops (D, anti-codon, and T loops). Further hydrogen bonds mediate the characteristic L-shaped molecular structure. tRNAs have two regions of fundamental functional importance: the anti-codon, which is responsible for specific mRNA codon recognition, and the 3' end, to which the tRNAs corresponding amino acid is attached (by aminoacyl-tRNA synthetases). tRNAs cope with the degeneracy of the genetic code in two manners: having more than one tRNA (with a specific anti-codon) for a particular amino acid; and 'wobble' base-pairing, i.e. permitting non-standard base-pairing at the 3rd anti-codon position. The record is from Rfam by way of RNAcentral. Lineage: Eukaryota; Metazoa; Chordata; Mammalia; Rodentia; Sciuridae.
GGGGUUGUGGCUUAGUGGUAGAGUGCUCACCUUGUAUGUGGAAAGUACUGGGUUUGAUCCUCAGCACCA